RNAcentral lists this ribosomal RNA (253 nucleotides) under uncultured bacterium. Its description in RNAcentral is "partial 16S ribosomal RNA". It matches the Rfam family "Bacterial small subunit ribosomal RNA", at positions 524 to 776 of the family's 1533-position model. The record is from RNAcentral.
UACGAAGGGUGCAAGCGUUACUCGGAAUUACUGGGCGUAAAGCGUGCGUAGGUGGUUUGUUAAGUCUGAUGUGAAAGCCCUGGGCUCAACCUGGGAAUUGCAUUGGAUACUGGCAGGCUAGAGUGCGGUAGAGGAUGGCGGAAUUCCCGGUGUAGCAGUGAAAUGCGUAGAGAUCGGGAGGAACACCGGUGGCGAAGGCGGCGACCUGGGUAGAUACUGACGCUGAGGCGCGAAAGCGUGGGGAGCAAACAGG